This 465-nucleotide ribosomal RNA is filed under the name uncultured bacterium. RNAcentral's name for it is "partial 16S ribosomal RNA". It matches the Rfam family "Bacterial small subunit ribosomal RNA", at positions 28 to 507 of the family's 1533-position model. The record is from RNAcentral.
GACGAACGCUGGCGGCGUGCUUAACACAUGCAAGUCGAACGGAAAGGCCCUGCUUGCAGGGUACUCGAGUGGCGAACGGGUGAGUAACACGUGGGUGAUCUGCCCUGCACUUCGGGAUAAGCCUGGGAAACUGGGUCUAAUACCGGCUAGGAGCCAUUUUUAGUGGGAUGGUUGGAAAGUUUUUUCGGUGUAGGAUGAGCUCGCGGCCUAUCAGCUUGUUGGUGGGGUAAUGGCCUACCAAGGCGGCGACGGGUAGCCGGCCUGAGAGGGUGGACGGCCACAUUGGGACUGAGAUACGGCCCAGACUCCUACGGGAGGCAGCAGUGGGGAAUAUUGCACAAUGGGCGCAAGCCUGAUGCAGAGACGCCGCGGGGGGGAUGACGGCAUUCGGGUUGUAAACUCCUUUCGCUAGGGAUGAAGCUUUUUGUGACGGUACCUAGAUAAGAAGCACCGGCUAACUACGUG